Notothenia coriiceps (black rockcod) is the source of this 504-nucleotide long non-coding RNA. RefSeq lists it as uncharacterized. Lineage: Eukaryota; Metazoa; Chordata; Actinopteri; Perciformes; Nototheniidae. The record is from RefSeq and is a predicted model, not a curated record. The transcript has 2 exons.
GCAACCGUACCAACAGUCGUGAGAGGUGACUUCCUGAACGCGCCUGAGGUAUACGACACGACAUCUAAACGAUGACAGCACCUCCAAACAAAUCAGGGCCCUCCUGCAAUGAGAAGGUUCAGAGGAGAGAAGGAGCGCACUUGAAGGAGAAGAGAAAACGAACGCCAGUGUCUGAUAAAACCUGUUGGUUUACAACGAUCAAAGAAGAAGAGGAAAAUAAUUAUAUAUAUUGUCAGCUGUCCAUCAUUCUGUCUCUCAUUUUGUAAAGUAAGAAAAGAGAAACAAAGCCAGAAAAGAAAAUAUAGAUAUAUAUUAAAAACAAGUGCAACACAAGCAGAAGAUGAAACAUAAGUAGGACUAGAGUGGGAGUUAUAUUGCAAAAUCUAACGUCAGAAACGACGCAAACUGAAAAUGUACAAAAAGAAACAAAAAAAGGGUUCAUGUUCCAGCAGUAGUCUGACAAGUAUUUUUGCACACAAACAACACCAUGUCCUUUCCCCUGAA